GUGCCUAGUAUACAACUUAGUAUUUCUCUAAGUAUGGAUCACUUAGCUCACUUAAACUGCCAUGAACCUAAAAACUUUGUGGGUUGCAAGUGCUAGAACUAAGUCUAAGUUGUUGUGGGACAUGAGAUAGUAAGACAAGAGCUACUAUAAUAUUUUUCUAAGCAUGCAUGAUUAUCAGAGAUUUAUUCUUAAAAUGAUCAAAACCUUAAUUGUUCCUCAAUGGUGAUGAAUUCCUACCACAGCCAUAUCUACUUUACAUAAUUGCAACCUUUCCACAUAAGCUAUUUGCUUUGUGUUGAGUGUCGUCAAGUCUUGUUGACCCUUGUUAAGAGACUUUUCAUGCUCCUAAGAUAUAAAUCACGUACACACCACAUGUAUAUAUGCUGCUUCUACACUGGAAGUACGCAACCACAUGUAUUUCGCAUCCACUAAAUAGGUUGCUCCAUACUCUAAAUGUUAGAACAUCUCUCUAAGCAUUAUUUGGUAAAUGAGACAUCAAAAGGCUAGGAAAAAUGAAAUAAAAAGAUGGACAUGUGCAAGUCCACAGAAAAAGAAAAUUGAGCACAUGAAAGCUCAUAUAUAUAAAAAAAAGAAGAAAAAAAUGCUAGCCAUGUCUCAAUACAUAGAGAGUCUAUCAAAUAAAGGAGCAACCUAGUCCACCAUAUAUCACACUUGCACAUCUUGAUCUGGGAGUAUGACACUUCUCUUCAAGGAUCCGAGCUUUGACUUCGCAAUACAUGCAAAGUAAGUAUGCUAUCUCCUUUCAUCCCUACCUUGAACUCCACAUAAGCCUUUUAGAAAUAGGAUGAAAUAGAGAAGGCAACUCUUACCAUAUGCCUUGGUGAGGAAUCAUACACCAUUUGAGUGACAUGAGAGAACCAUAAGAGGAACAUUUAAGCUUUCUUUUGAAAAUAUCACAAAACCUCUGAUAUGAAACUUGCUAAGAAUGAGAAAGUUAGUGCUCAAGUCAAACUGUUCUGUCUCUCAACCACCUAAGACAAAGGAAAAUCCAUAAGCCCCAUAAGGGACUAAGGUAAUAGGGGUAAGUUUACAUAGCUAAAUUUUUCAUGCAAAGAGAAGAACUUUGUUGUACACAUGGUACUCUUGAAAUGUGAACAUAGUAACAAUACCUGAUCCACCGAGGCUAAGUUUGAUUGUUUGCUCGGGACGAGCAAAGGUUAAGCUUGGGGGAUCUUGUUGACGGUGGAUAUACCAUAGAAAUCCACAUACAAAACACCGUCAACAUGCCUCGGUUGCAAGGGGAAACGACAUGACAUGAACAUAUUUUAUCCAUAACUAGUUCCACUUGUACUCUUAGCUUGUUUAUGCAGGAACAACAAAUUCAAGACAUUAUUUGACAAAGCCAACAUCAGAAUCAUCAAGAGGAGAUCGAGGGGACAACAGGUGACACCCUGGGCUCACAGGGAGGGGGUCGCCCGACCCCUCUUUGGUGGGACCCAGGUGUGCCACCUAGUCCACCGACAUAAGGGACCCCUG
This 1497-nucleotide long non-coding RNA is filed under the name Sorghum bicolor (sorghum). RNAcentral's name for it is "long non-coding RNA (SBIC_LNC008262)". The record is from RNAcentral. Lineage: Eukaryota; Viridiplantae; Streptophyta; Magnoliopsida; Poales; Poaceae.